Molecule: ribosomal RNA, 252 nt
Filed under: uncultured bacterium
Lineage: Bacteria
Description: partial 16S ribosomal RNA
Rfam family: Bacterial small subunit ribosomal RNA
Source: RNAcentral
UACGUAGGGGGCAAGCGUUGUCCGGAAUUAUUGGGCGUAAAGGGCACGCAGGCGGUGGUUUAAGUUUGGUGUUUAAUCCCAGGGCUCAACCCUGGUACGCACUGAAAACUGGAUCACUUGAGUGCAGAAGAGGAGAGUGGAAUUCCACGUGUAGCGGUGAAAUGCGUAGAUAUGUGGAGGAACACCAGUGGCGAAGGCGACUCUCUGGUCUGUAACUGACGCUGAGGUGCGAAAGCGUGGGUAGCAAACAGG